Molecule: ribosomal RNA, 264 nt
Filed under: uncultured archaeon
Lineage: Archaea
Description: partial 16S ribosomal RNA
Rfam family: Archaeal small subunit ribosomal RNA
Source: RNAcentral
AGUCACUGACAUUAGAUACCCGUGUAGUCCAGGGUGUAAACGCUGCAGACUUGGUGUUGGAGGCCCUUUGGGGGCAUUCAGUGCCGGAGAGAAGUUGUUAAGUCUGCUACUUGGGAGUACGUCCGCAAGGCUGAAACUUAAAGGAAUUGGCGGGGGAGCACCGCAACGGGAGGAGCGUGCGGUUUAAUUGGAUUCAACACCGUAAAACUCACCAGGGAAGACUGUUACAUGAAAGCCGAGAUGAAGACUCUGCUAGAUUUUCAG